UGGGGAAUUUUGCACAAUGGGGGAAACCCUGAUGCAGCGACGCCGCGUGAUUUAGAAGGCCUUCGGGUUGUAAAAAUCUUUUGUAUGGGAAGAAAAUGACAGUACCAUACGAAUAAGGACCGGCUAAUUACGUGCCAGCAGCCGCGGUAAUACGUAAGGUCCGAGCGUUGUCCGGAAUCAUUGGGCGUAAAGGGUACGUAGGCGGAUAAGCAAGUUAGAAGUGAAAUCCUAUAGCUCAACUAUAGUAAGCUUUUAAAACUGCUCAUCUUGGGGUAUGGAAGGGAAAGUGGAAUUCCUAGUGUAGCGGUGAAAUGCGCAGAUAUUAGGAGGAAAACCGGUGGCGAAGGCGACUUUCUGGCCAUAUACUGACGCUGAGGUACGAAAGCGUGGGUAGCAAACAGG
Molecule: ribosomal RNA, 402 nt
Filed under: Verrucomicrobiota bacterium
Lineage: Bacteria; Pseudomonadati; Verrucomicrobiota
Description: Verrucomicrobia bacterium partial 16S ribosomal RNA
Rfam family: Bacterial small subunit ribosomal RNA
Source: RNAcentral